AGUUUGAUAGCUCUGUUAGUAAAGCAGAGGGCUGUAGAUCCUUAGGUUGCCGGUUCGAAUCUGGCUCAAAGGA
This 73-nucleotide transfer RNA is filed under the name Scleropages formosus (Asian bonytongue). Its description in RNAcentral is "tRNA-Tyr". It matches the Rfam family "tRNA". From Rfam's summary of the family: Transfer RNA (tRNA) molecules are approximately 80 nucleotides in length. Their secondary structure includes four short double-helical elements and three loops (D, anti-codon, and T loops). Further hydrogen bonds mediate the characteristic L-shaped molecular structure. tRNAs have two regions of fundamental functional importance: the anti-codon, which is responsible for specific mRNA codon recognition, and the 3' end, to which the tRNAs corresponding amino acid is attached (by aminoacyl-tRNA synthetases). tRNAs cope with the degeneracy of the genetic code in two manners: having more than one tRNA (with a specific anti-codon) for a particular amino acid; and 'wobble' base-pairing, i.e. permitting non-standard base-pairing at the 3rd anti-codon position. The record is from RNAcentral. Lineage: Eukaryota; Metazoa; Chordata; Actinopteri; Osteoglossiformes; Osteoglossidae.